Molecule: long non-coding RNA, 610 nt
Organism: Rosa rugosa (rugosa rose)
Lineage: Eukaryota; Viridiplantae; Streptophyta; Magnoliopsida; Rosales; Rosaceae
Exons: 3
Source: RefSeq, a predicted model, not a curated record
CAAAAAGAGAGAGGCAUAGAGGACAAAGUUCUGGUAUAAGGAGAGCAAUGGAGAAACUUUUGAUCUGUACACAAAGAGGUGGGAGGGAUAAUCUGAAAAAUGGAUUCUGUGUGUCUCGUCUUAUCCAUCACAGAACCAUCUUUAUCUGAACUCUAGAAAAUACCCCAAAGCUUACCAACAUUUAGGAAUCUCAGGCAAUUGAACUUGGACCUCCUUUCAUACCAAAGUAAAAGUGAGGAAGGUAAUCCGCUGCCUCCUCUGAAUCUUCUCAAAGUUGCAUCGCUUUUGGAAGAACUUACUAUAACCGUUAGCUAGUAUCAAUACUUCUACUAUGGAUAAAAAUAUUUUGUUCUCUUGCUUGCUCUUAUUCGUAGUAAACACAUACCAAAACUUGAAUACUGACUCCUAACACUUCUAAAUUUAAACCAAGUCUGUCUAUUCACCAUGGCUUUUGUUGUGUGCAUAUAUAUGAUUUCAAUAAGUUGUUCAAGGGAAGUAUCUCAAGCAUCGGAGACAAAAAGGUUAAAGCCGAAUGCCACCAGUUUUAGGAAUAUUGGAGGGCAGAAAAUGGAGAAGGGUACAUAAACUGUAGAUACACAUUGUCAUUAAA